GCAUAGAUUACAGAGCAAAUUUUCCUCUGGCAUGUAGCCACUUACAAUUACAAAUGCUUCUGCUCAUUCAUCACCGAUUAGCAUUGCAUUAUCUUCUUGUAGUGUGUUCUAUGCCAAAGGAGAUUUGCUCGGCAAUUCUUCU
Molecule: microRNA precursor, 142 nt
Filed under: Rosa chinensis
Lineage: Eukaryota; Viridiplantae; Streptophyta; Magnoliopsida; Rosales; Rosaceae
Description: sRNA RchiOBHm_Chr5g0011561
Rfam family: mir-399 microRNA precursor family
About the family: mir-399 was identified in both Arabidopsis thaliana and Oryza sativa computationally and was later experimentally verified. mir-399 is thought to target mRNAs coding for a phosphatase transporter. The mature sequence is excised from the 3' arm of the hairpin.
Source: Rfam by way of RNAcentral